RNAcentral lists this non-coding RNA (48 nucleotides) under Trichobilharzia regenti. The record is from RNAcentral. Lineage: Eukaryota; Metazoa; Platyhelminthes; Trematoda; Strigeidida; Schistosomatidae.
AUCCAGCUGAUAAGUCCCAAAUAGGACGAAAUGCACGUUACCCUGGAU